GAUUAGUUUCCUUCAGCCUAAUUUGCAGCCAUCUUAGCCAAGCCUUCAUAUUUCUUCCCUUUUCAACCCGGUCCCUCAUUUUCCACCUGGAGAAGUCUCUUCUCAAUCGCCUAGGCAACGGAGACAAGAGCUAGGACGCUGUCGCACGGGCCUAGCUUCUGUCAGAGAAGUGGAAGAGCUUUCUUGUAUGCCUUAUUCCCCCUGGUACAUAGUUGUAUAUUCUUCGUUGUGGGUCCUUUUGUUGUGUCAUGUGGGACGCCGCCUCAGCGUGGUUCGACGAGCAGUGCCAUGUCCGUGCCCAGGAUUCGAACCAACGAAACACUGGGCCGCCUGCAGUGGAGCGCGCAAACUCAACCAUUUGGCCAUGGGGCCAACCCCGGUGCCAGUGUACCAGAAGCACAAGAAAGAUGAUCAGAGAAUUAAGAAAAAGAAGAAAAUACCGAAUGAGAUUAAGAAGGAAAAUUUGGGACAAAAACCUGGAGGUGUCCUUCACACCAACACCCCCCUCAUCCAAUGUAUCACAAUGGACUAUAUAUCUAUUUAACCCCAAAAGGUGUCUUGAACUGAUCGAUUUUCGCCCACGCCUUCACCGCCUUCUUGCUUUAGUCUAAUCCGUCAUCAUCUCUCCAUGUAUAUCUGGAAGAACUUCCUAAUUGUUCUCCCUCCUUUUACUUUUAUCCCCCUGCAAUCCAUUCCGCACACCAGUAAUUGCAGUGAUUUAUUUAAAAUGCUAAUAGGAUCAUGUAGUUUCCUUACUUAUCAUCUUUCAAGGGCUCCUUACUGCACUUAGGAUAAAAUAUAGACCCAUAACCUUGCCUUUGGGGCUCUGCAGAUUGCUGCCCCUGCCUCUACCGCCAGCCUCAUCUUGCACCAUCUCUUGUUCCUCACAGCCAGCAGGCACUACUGCCCUCCUUUCAACUGCAAGCACAGUAGCACUGAGCUCUUCACUGAAUCAGGACUGCUACUCACGCUGUUAUUCUGCCUGGAGUGCUUUUUACUCAACUUGUCCUUCAGGUUUAUUAUGCUGAUGUACAUACCUUGGUGGCUGAAUGUCUGGUGGCCAGAUAAUUGAAAGAGCACACUAUGAGAACUAAGAUUCUAGAGGCUGGAAUAUGCAUGUCAUUUUGAUUGUAUGUGAUGUAUACCUGUACAUAUGGCAUGGCAUCCCCUUGAGUUUUAGAACAGUACUGAUUUCAUGUCACUUCAUUUUUUUAAAGAAAGUUAGUUCUCUAAAUGCAAAAUCACCUGUGAUUUAAAUUUCCUGCUUUCUGAACUCAUUCAGCAUAUAACAAUUCACAUAUCAGUUUUUUAAAAAGGUAAAAAGCUCUUAUCCUACCCUGGGCUUUCAUUUUUGUUUCAGAAUGUGGACAUGUUGUUUGUGCCAACAAAAGGGAAUUCAAGGAGCCAGAUGAGAAAGGUCAUUAAGAACAGACUAGAGCAAGAAGCUGUUUCCAACCCUCCACUGGAGUGAGGUCUAGUCUCCAGACAGAGAGAGAGAGAAGAAAGAAGGAGGAGGACGAGGGAGAAGGAGUGGGCAUAACAGUUAACAUCUGCUAAAGAGUGGAGAUUCCAGAGAAAAAGUAAGAGAGGUUGAGUCUGCGCCAGGGACAUGAAGGAAAUAAGCUGCCUGGGAACCAAGAACAGAGGAUGGAAGGGUGGCUGCAACAUGCAGAGCUACUCUUGUUGAAGACUAUACCCAAACUCUUCACAGAACCUCAGGACUUAGAGGAACACAACACAAAAAAAUCACCAGCACAAGAUACAUCAGAAAGGAUUUCGCAAGGCAAAACACAACUGACUACAAUAACUAGAACAGAUGAAGUGCUCUGAGAUUAGAGAAAUGAAAGCCCACAGGAUGCUGGAGUCCUCUGCGAAGUCUACAGUGGACACACGGGAGUCCUACCAGUCCAGAACCACUUUAAAUGAAGUUCAAGAGUUGAGUUUUCUUGGACCAACAGGUGAUGGAAUGUUGGGCUGCAUUUUCAAGAGAGGACUUCUUUACUUCCAGCAUACUUUAUGGGUAUAAUCCUUUGUAGUGGGUAAAUUAUCAAUGUUCCCCCUCCUAGCAAGUUCCUAAUUUGACUUCUAUUUGCCUAGUCCCACAAGGCCACCAAAAUCACUGCUCAGCCUUUCAACUACUCCUGCAGGAAUGGCCAAUUCUCUUAGGAUAAGUAUGCCUUGAAUGCCUUAGCUUAUAUUUCUGAUGUCUUGUCUUCUUCCAGAUCUUGGUCCAGCAAGUUCCGGGGUAUCUUGUACGCUCUUUGAUAUCUAUAGUCCUGUGUUCGUUCUUGAUCCUCAGGUUUACAUGUGGAAUCAUUUUGCUACACUUUUUCCUCUUCUUCAAGUUAAGACUUACAUUUACAACUCCAACACAUAUGAUAAAAUUCAGAGUGUUAGGAAAAUAUGGCCAUAGUGACAUCAGUAUCCAAGUUCACAAGACUAUGUUAAUUAGAGAGCCUUCACAAACAUCUUAAUUAUGCACAUCUGCUUUCCAUAUGAAUUAAGAUUUCCUCCUAGGAAUUGUUUACAAUGUUAAACAUAAUCUAUGCAAAAAACCUGAGAUACUGAGAUGUUCAGUUUCUUUAGGAAAGCGA
This 2594-nucleotide long non-coding RNA is filed under the name Equus caballus (horse). Its description in RNAcentral is "lncRNA (ENSECAG00000037735.3)". The record is from RNAcentral. Lineage: Eukaryota; Metazoa; Chordata; Mammalia; Perissodactyla; Equidae.